Molecule: long non-coding RNA, 7389 nt
Filed under: Lupinus angustifolius (narrow-leaved blue lupine)
Lineage: Eukaryota; Viridiplantae; Streptophyta; Magnoliopsida; Fabales; Fabaceae
Description: long non-coding RNA (LANG_LNC000416)
Source: RNAcentral
UAAUUGUGAGAUUUGUAUAGGGUUUAUAGCUUGUUCUUUCUAGUAAUAUUUGAGCUAUUUUAAUGUUUCACAUUACUCUGUUUUUUGUGUUGUUUGUGUAACAAGGAAAAUCGUCUCUUGGUGUCGUACCACCAACAAGAUCAUAGAGUCUUCACCAAGACUUGGAGGUCUUGAGUUUAGAGCAUUCUCUUGGCUGGGGCUGGAUCGUAGGAAAGAUUUUCCUAGGCGAUUGGGUAAGGUCAAACCAAGAUAGAGGUUCUGGGAACUCAAGAAGGUAGCGUUCAAGGUCUUGUAAUUGGAAGUGUGUAUGUAAGACACAUUGGUUUCAAUUUUAGUGAAGAAAAUCUCUCGGAUCAGAUGGGGAGGACUGGAUGUAGUUUUGCAGUGGACCACGAAACGAACAAGUAUAAAAACAUUGUUGCAGGCUGUUUCUUUCCCUUGUCUAUUUACUGUUUUUAGUAGUUUUCAAUUGCCUAUUGUAGGUGAUAUUUUGAAUAUAGUAUUACUACAAAUAAAGAUCAUUUGUGUUCAAAUAUAACUGCGAUAUCAUUUCUGUAUAAUCUGUAAUUGGCUGUGUAAUUGAGCCAGACAGCAACUGCUAAUUCUGUGCGACUUAAUCGAUUAAGUCAUAGCUUUAAUCGAUUAACUGAGUAAUUUUCCAGAAUAAGACUUUGAUGCAAAUAACGGUAAGUGGGAAUCACGACACCUAUUCAACCCCCUUCUUGGUGUAUUCUGUCACUGAUACCUAACAAGCAUUAGUUUUGGGCAAGUAAAAAAUAGAUGUUCUACAGUUUCAGGGUCUCCACAGAAGAUGCACCUUCCAUCUGUUUCUAUACCAAACUUUUGAAGUCUAUCUUUGGUAGGUAGUCUAACAUGACAGGCCAACCAUAGGGUGAAAUGUGCUCUGGGUCUUGCGGUGUUACCAUAGAAAAUUCGUUUCCAGCACAUAGCUCGGGUCCUCUAAGUUCCAAGUACGUCGUCCUAGUCUUGAAUCUGCCACUAUUGCACGCAUCCAACCAACUUGUGGUUUGCAUAAUCUCAAGUUUGUAUUUGAAUGUGUGUCUAAAUAGCCAGGAGUAGUUGUGGCUUUGAUGGUAUUCACUAACAUCAUCACCUUUUAAAUGAUAUGUAUGAAUCCACUUGACCCAAAGCUGGCCAGGUUCCAAAGCAACUUUGCCCUGUUUGCCAUGUUCCACUCCCCAAGGGAAAUGAGGUUUAUCCCAUCAGCUUGCUUAGGGUCACAUAAAUGAUCCAAAGCUACAUGGGCCUUCUUGUAGUCCUCAGCUUUUCUAAACCAGAGGAAAGUUCUGCAUUUGGCUUCUAAGUGGUGCAGAAUCUUUUUUGGCAAGGAGAACACCGGCAUCCAGUAGUUGGUAAUGGAGAACAGAACACUCUUGAUGAGUUGGGUUCUGCCUGCAUAACUCAGAAGCUUGGUGCUCUAGUGAUUCAACCUAAUAGUGAUUUUUUCAAUCGGUGGAGCAUAGAGAUUAACAUUGAGUUUCCUACUAACGAGAGGUACACCAAGAUAUUUAAAAGGCAAGGAACCUAUACUGAAACCUGCGGCUUUUGUGAUGCUUUGUUGUAGAGUUUGGUUCACUCCCCCAAAAUAAACUUUACAUUUUUGAUGGCUAGCUUUGAGACUAGUGCUUUUAGAAAAUUCUGGGAAUUUCUUCAUGAGAAGUUCAACAGAAAGUUGGUCCCCUCUACUGAAAAGAAGAAGGUCACCAGCAAAGCACAAAUUUGUGAUGUUUAAUUUCUCACAUUUUGGGUGGAAAUUGAAGUUGUGGUCCUCUUUCAGUUCUUGGAAGAUUAUGUGUAAGUAUUUCAUGAUUAGGACGAAGAGUAUGGGUGAUAAGGGUCACAUUGUCUUAAACCCCUUUUAACUUGUAAAACAGUAGAUGGAUUGCCAUUAAUUGAGUAUCUAUAUGACACUGUCCUGACACAAAUCAUGGUCCAUCUAAUAAAUUGUUGAGGGAACCCAAUUUCAAGCAUAAUGUGUUCAAGGGCAUCCCACUCCACUAUGUCAUAAGCUUUCUGGAUAUCCAUUUGGACCAUGCAUCUUGGAGAGAUACCUUUUCUGCUAUAACCCCUCACCAAUUCUUGAGCCAAAAUGAUAUUAUUAUGGAUGACUUUCUCAAGCACAAAAGUAGAUUGACUAGUAUCCACCACUUGAUCAAUACCUCUGCUUAAUCUUUUAGUGAGAAUUUUGUAUAUUAUUUUAUAAAUUGUUGUGCAGCAUGAAAUAGGUCUCAUAUCCUUCAUUGUACAUGCUUCAUUGGUCUUUGGAAGCAUAGAGACUAGGAUAAAAUUCAUAGCAGGGUAGAGGAUAUCAUUAGUGAAGAAAUGCUCACUUAAGAAAAAUCAUAAUAAAUAUGUGAGUAAAUUACACCCAAGCUUAUUGAAAUUUAAUUUAAUUAUAUUUAUUAUCUUAGAUUUAAAAUAUUUAUCUCAUUUCUCUUAUAGGAAUACUGGGGUGUAUAUGGAGCAUAUAUAUAAAUUAUGGAUGAUUUUUAUAUGUAUAGAAAGAAGUAGUUUGUAUAAUUUCCCAAAACUUUUAUGGUGUAUCAAUAGAUAAUGAUUUUAGCCUUCUUUUGUACUUACUAUUGAUUAAAGCUUUACAUAUUUUUUUUUAAAUUGUCUUAACAUAAUGUAUUUAUAUUGCCAAUUUUAUGAUAGUGUCUCCAGAUUAAUUGGAGUCCUUAUUUUUUUGGACACCAGUAGAUUUAAAUACAAAAAUAAUAUAUACUCUUGUUGUUCUCUAUUAUAUUUAUAUAAUUGGGAUAGAGAAAUGUUUCUAUUCUUUUUCAUUUAUAACUUUAAUAAAAUAUCAAUACAUAAUUUUCUAAUUAUGCUCUUAAUGUUAACAGCUAUUUUUAUACUACGUUCAUUUCUAUUUAACAGUCUUAUAAUAUUGUAGCUCACAAUUCACAAAUAUGAUUAAUAUGUAUAUUUGUAUUAAAUUUAUGUCAUUUUUAUUAAUGUUUUGUCAUUUUGUCUCUCUAUAAUAAUUAUAUUAUUCAUUUCUCCUUAUUAUCUUUAAUUAAUUAGAUACUGUAAGGUUAUAAAAAUUAUUAAUGUUGAUUUUAUUUUCUAAAAAAAAUAAGUACAUAAUUGUUUUUGAAAAAGACAAUUGCAAAGGAACAAAAGUAGAAGUGGUAAAGGAAAUAGUAAAGGGAGAUAAAUGAUAUAAAAAUGAAAAAAAAAAUAUUUUCCAAAUAACUAUUAAAUUAUAUAUUGAUCCAUGUAUUUAUGUCCUAAAAUAUAAGUGAAAAUAGGUUAGUCAACCCAUUAGAAACCCAUGGUUUGGUCUAUUAAAAAAUGACUAUAUAUAUAUAUAUGUUUGAUAAGAGUAAUUGAAGAAUCUCUUUGUGAAUUAGCAACUCUCUCACACUCCAACAACAUAAUUUAUUGGUACAUGAUAACUUUUCAUUCAUUUUGUCCCCUCCUUUAUGUAUUCUCACACUAUAUAUUUCAUUUCUUUAUUAUAAUAAUAUAAUAAUAUUAAAUCUACUAUUCCAUUUUUUGAUAAUUUCAAAACAACAUUUUUUUCAUUAAGCUUUUACCUAUGAUGAUUGCACUGUAUAUUUACUUUCCUAUAAUAUAAUAAUAUUAAAAAUAUUAUCGCAUUCUUAAUAAUUUCAAAACAAAAAACAUAUACUACUCUAAGAAUUGAAAGUACAAAGUGUCAAGAAUAACACUAGCCUAUCUUAACCUAUGUUUUGAUGAAGACAAAUUUCUAACAAAGCUUGAAGUUGGCUCAACAAUCAACAUGUCUUAUGCUCAUUUGGUCAUCUCUAGACUAUGAGAUAAAUUGAUUCUAUAACCUAAGUAGUCUGGGAUGUGUGCCGUAGUUAGUAAGUGAGUAUAGGUUAGGUGAACCUAGAUGCUAGUCUCUUAAGCCAUCAUAAUUGAACUACCAUAUUCAUGAGAUGCAUCAUCUAGUUAAUCGUAUGUUCGUGCAUAUAUAAUACAUGUUAUUUGUGCAUAUUAGACAUAAUAUAAAUAGUGAAACAUGUACAUAUAUUGCACAUAACAUAUGAGAAGUUUGCCUUGUGAGAAUUCGAAAAUAAUGGAUCAUCUUCAUCAAUAUCUUCAUAUUCUUGGUCAUCAAUAUUAUUGACGAUUAUUUUGUUAGUUAAAAGAACAAUGGACCAUUUUAUAUCAGUUGUAUCACUAACAUAGAAUACUUGUUGAGCUUGUGAUGCUAGAAUAAAUUACUCAUCUUUAUAUCUUGACAUAUUAAGAUCCACUUGCAUGAACUCUAACUCAUCAACUCGGAAGCCAUUAUUGUUAUCAACCCACAUACAAUAAAAAAUCGGUAUCCUAAACAUUGUAUAAUCCAAUUCUCAUAUGCGCUCAAUCACUCCAAAGUAUGACAUGUUCACAUAUAUUGGGUUUCUAUCUUUUGCACUUGACAUGUGUAAAGUUCGAGCAACAAGAGUCACACUACUAUUUUAUCUUUUACUUUGAUCAUCUUGUUUUUCAUAUAAAAUGUGAACCCAUCAAUUAGGUAACUAGUGUAGGAUAAGACAUGAAAGCUGUAACACCGCGAAUUUUACGAUUUGGAAUUAUAAGAUUUUAUUAAUAUUUUUAUUAAUUAUAUAUUAGAAAAUGAAUUUCUAGGAAUUUUAGGUAAAGAAUUAGACGAAACUCUAGUGGAGUUUUAGUCUUGUAAUUUUAUUUCCUAUUUUGUGGUAAAUUUUGGUAGUUUUCGGAGACAAUCGAUUCUGAACCACUGUCGGGGCUGAAAUCCACCCUGUACGGCUCAAAAAGUGGGUUUUGAGUUCCGUAACUCGGAAUCGAAUUCCGAUCGCACUGUUGACUUCGUAAUUUCAUUUUGAGUCAAUAUAGACCCUGAAUAUACCUAUACCUAUUUUCUAAAUAUUUUUCACNNNNNNNNNNNNNNNNNNNNNNNNNNNNNNNNNNNNNNNNNNNNNNNNNNNNNNNNNNNNNNNNNNNNNNNNNNNNNNNNNNNNNNNNNNNNNNNNNNNNGGUGUCCGAAUAUGACACCCGAAUCUCCUAAACCAUCUCAAAGGUUUUUGAGUUAACUUGGGUUUUUAAGAAACCUAAUAUUUUUAUGUUUGGAUGUAAUAUUUUGAAUAUAUAUGAUUGUUGAUGAAAUGUGUUGAAUAUUGUACAUGAAUGUUGUUAAGAACUUUUCUGUGUGCAGGUGUUUGAAAAACCAUGUUUAAAUGUGUUUCGGUUGUCGAAAAGGGCAAAAGUUGGCAUUCCGUCCAAGUCCCUGUCGCUUGGGCGAGAAACUCUCGCCUGGGCGAGCACAGUCUCGCUUGGGCGAGGACUGGGCGAGGGGAAGUUUUGGGUUCUGGAACUCCUCACCCGGGCGACCAAUCCUCGCUUGGGCGAGCAAAUCUCGCCUAGGCGAGCAAGGGUCCCGCUUAGGCGAAAAAUACCCAGGAUUUUGAAGAAAAUUGAGAAUUUUCUCGCUUGGGCGAGUAAAAGUUUCGCUUCGGCGAAAAGAAAAAAAAAUUCCAGGAUUUUAAUGAUGUCUCGCUUGAGCGAGAAGGAGCCUCGCUUGGGCGAGGAAAGCUUAAGUUUAAUUGAGAUUUAAAGAUGAAUUGUCGCUUGGAUGAGAGGGCCUCGCUUGAGCGAGAGAUGCCCAGUUUUAAAAUGGUAUUGUUGAUUGAAUUUUCGCUUGAGCGAAGGGUCCUCGCUUGGGCGAGAGACAGUGAUUGUGUUUGACUAUUUGGAUUGAUUGGUUGAGUAUGUAAUAACCCUAGUAUGGGUAUGUGAUAUAACCUACUUUGGUAUAACGCCGUAAUUUUGGAAUUAAAUAGUCAAACUCGGAAAUUAAUUUUAAAGAAAGUAAUCCGAGAAUGAUGUAUGAUUUAGGGCGAUGCCCAGAAAAGGAUACGUGAUACCACGGAGUGAGAUCGUCUGACCGUAAGUGGCUUGGUCGGGGACUGUCCAAGGUGAUUCAGCGAUAGUCGUAGUGGUAGGGACGUUACCCUUUGAGUUAUGAUGUGAAUUAGGGCACUGCCCAGAAAGGAACCCAGGAUACCACGGAGCGAGAUCGGCUGAUCGUAAGAGGCUUGGUGUGGGACCGUCCAAGGUAUUCAGAUGGUCUUAGUGGUGGGAUGUAUUUCCUUUAUAUUACGUGUUAACGUAAGAUCGGGACCCACAAGAAGCAUUCCUGAGGGAGAUGACUUAAGGUGGGUCGAGCAUGGUAAAUAAUGAUUAAAAGAUUUAAUCAUCUAACUGCGGUUAGUGUUCAUAUGCAUAUGGUUAAUAAUGGAGUAGUGGAGAGGAAAUUGACGGUAUGACUUAGAGCACCGUGAAGUAAGCAGGGAUGGCACUGAUUGGAUGGUGAUUCGCCAACAAUGUCUUGAGGGAGAGUCUGGGUGAGACGAGUCCCUUGUAUUCCUGGGGAGGUACCCUGUUGGAUCGGACAGUUCUCACAUGACAAACUAGACAAUCUCUAACAACCCCUAGAUUGCAUUCGAGAUCAAUGAGAGGGAUGCCCAGAAAGCGUUUGUACGACCUAGGUCCGGGUAGGACUGUUCUUGAGGGAAUCGAUCGAUCUAUUUUUAAUUCCUUGCGAGGAUAUGUUAUUUCGAGUGCGUACAAAGUGGUUUGGUAUGGGACUUGUACUCUUUAUUUUUUUCCGACUAGGUUAUUGAGGGGAUAUUGGUGUGAGGUGGAUGAUCAUGACAUAGCAUGCAUAUAUUGCACUUGUGGAAGUGGAUUCUCACAUUUGAGUUACAAACAUCGUGCAUCAUCAACAUUAUGCACAUAUUAUUACUAUGGUUAUAAUAUUCGUUUAUGAAAUGUAUGUUGAUAUAUUAUUGUUUAUAUUGAUAAAUGGUGGGUUAUAAUGUCGGUGAUAGAUAAUAUAUGUGNNNNNNNNNNNNNNNNNNNNNNNNNNNNNNNNNNNNNNNNNNNNNNNNNNNNNNNNNNNNNNNNNNNNNNNNNNNNNNNNNNNNNNNNNNNNNNNNNNNNUAUUAUACGACUAUCCGCACUUAUGUGUUAUUUAAUUAUAGUCAUGACAUCUUGUCGAUGAAUGAUAUAUUGAUAAAUGGUGAAUUAUGAUAUUGAUGGGAAUAAGUGUUGUUUACAUUACAUAGGUUGAUUAGAUAAUUGUUUAUAAGAACAAUUGAUGAGUUUGGUUAUAUUACUCAUGUAAAUUGAAUAAUUGUUUACGAGAACAACUAAUGAGUUAUAAUGUAAUAUGUUAUAUAUAUAUUGUGAACUGUUUUUCAUAUCUGAGUGUAAUAUUCUGAGUAAGUCCACGCCGUCAAUGAAUUUAUGUUCAUUAGAUGUCUUACUCUCUCUAUUUAUCUUCUUUUUCUAUUGCUUGCUUUUCGGACGUGUUCUCGUCAGAUAGUCAGCUUGCUCGGAUUUGGAGCUACCCGUCUGUGAUGUUCUAGGAGG